UAUUCGAUUACCUCAUAAGUCGCCAAUAGUGCUGUGAAAGACCUGCGAAAGUGUUGUAAAGCAAAACAACUGCGCUCUAAAGUACGCGGUGUCGGCGAUGUGAGUGUUUCCAAUCCAAAUGGUAGUGACAAGGUUGCUCCGCUUUAAAGCAAUUUAACUGGUUGCCUUCGAUUGACGGACUGACAACUGCACUAAAGCGAAAAAAUCAACAAUUCAACUAACAAGGAGAGAUAAUAAGAGAACGAGCAGAGAAAAAAAGCAUAAAAUCGUAAAAUCAGCAAAAUCAACACAAACUACUACAGUGCGUAAGCAAGCGGCAUUUGUACAUCAUUUUACUAGAAAAACAAACAACAGCUCUACAGUUCAUUUACGUUUUCAAAUAAACAAUAGUGACUAUUGCGUGUGUAUGAGAGAGAGAAAGAAAACGUAAGAAAAAACUUACGCCAGACAUAAAACAACGCGAGUUGCAAUUGGGCAACGUUUCAUUCAGGACAACCACAGCAACAACAACGAGAGUGAACGGAAGAGCGAGCUUAACAGCAUUAACGGUGCCCUUCUGGGUGCCACUGGCUGCGGCGCUAACACGCGCGUCGGUGGCCUUGACAGCUGUUUUUCUAGGACAUUGGGAUCUGCAGAGCAUAUCCCACAUCCCCUAUUGGAAAUCUACUUGGUUUUAUUUCGGAACUGACAACUGUCAAUUGUGUACGUUUUUGUAAUUUUAAUGGCAUUUCGUUGUUUGUUCGAUGCCACAAAAGAUGAACAAUGAACAAAUUGGUGUUUCAUCAAUAUCAUCAUCAGCGACAACCUUAUCAUCAUCCACAAUAUCCACAUCUGCAACAGCAACAGCAGCAGCAGCA
RNAcentral lists this small RNA (857 nucleotides) under Drosophila mojavensis. RNAcentral's name for it is "GI27094". Lineage: Eukaryota; Metazoa; Arthropoda; Insecta; Diptera; Drosophilidae. The record is from RNAcentral.